UUAUCACAACCGUUACAUAGCUUUAUUGUUAUCGAUAACGAACGAUGACUAUUUAAAAAGCGGUCAUGCGCAAUUCAGAUAAUAAAAUAAUUUUCACAAAGUAUAGCAGCAAAAAAGAACACCGACAAAGUACCACAUUUUUGUAUUCCACAAUCAGAAAGACUAAUUCUUAAAAAAAAUGCCUUGCAAAGGAUGUGAAAAAGACUGCAAAUGCACUACAGCAAAGUGCGAUGAACGCUGCAAAUGUGCCAAGGAUAAUAAAUGUAAUUGUAUGAAUGGUGACAAGGAGGCAGCAGCUACUGGAAAAUCUUGCUGUAGCAAGCAAACUAAAAGUGACUAAGUUAAUGGUGAAUUGGAGAAAUUUUUACAUCUAUCAUCUUUAUAGAAAAUAUUGAAAAAUAAAUGUGAAUUAAAAAGGUGA
Long non-coding RNA from Musca domestica (house fly), 421 nucleotides. RefSeq lists it as uncharacterized. The transcript is spliced from 2 exons. NCBI's taxonomy places the organism in Eukaryota, Metazoa, Arthropoda, Insecta, Diptera, Muscidae. The record is from RefSeq and is a predicted model, not a curated record.